Molecule: long non-coding RNA, 2137 nt
Organism: Homo sapiens (human)
Lineage: Eukaryota; Metazoa; Chordata; Mammalia; Primates; Hominidae
Source: Ensembl
UGCCUUUGUAUGCUGGGAGGACCAAGCCGGAGGUUCCCACUAUGAGCCCGGAGUCUGUGCAGCCAGAUGACGCAUGAGCUCUAUUCAAAAUACCCAAGAUUUGGAAGCAACCUAAGUGCAUAUCAGCAGACAAAUGGAUAAAGAAAAUGUGGUACAUAUACAAAAUGGAGUACUAUUCAGCUGUAAAAAAGAAUGAGAUCCUGUCAUUUGCAACAACAUGCAUGCAACUGGAGGUCGUUAUGCCUCUGCCUCUGAAUGUGAAGGGAAACUGGACCAGCUCAGUGUCAAGCCUACAGACAUUUCCUUGUUCCUGGGGACUGAGCAGUUUGAAGUUUCCAAAGAUGAAAACAUCUACUCUGAAGAGACCUGAAUGGACAAGAGAUGUUUUCCUCUUCCUUACCAUAAUAAAAGAGGACUGCUCCUGACCACAGGAUAUGCCUGGUCCAGGAAAUGGCCACAUUUCCCCCCUCAGGACCUCUACUUGGAUGGGCUGCCUUGGAAAUAAGAUGGAAACAUCCAUCUUCUCUGUGGUACUAAUUUAGAGUGAUCUUGACUGCCUACAACAUUAAGGAGUAUACUGGAUUGGAAACCCAUUCAAUCUGAUGUCUGCUGAGGAAUGGAGAAAGACCACUGGUGAUUCCUCCAUCCUCACUCCUGUGUCCCUCCUUGCAUUGCAAGUGCUUUACAAGUCUUCCCGAUAGACCAUGAGCAUCCUGAGGGCUGGUAUCAAAUUUAACUCAUCUCCUAUCCUCAGUGCCUCGUACAAGAUGCUGGAUGUAGGAGGAGUUCAGAAGCUCAAACUGAGGCAGAAUCACAGCGAUUUGGAAAAUGGUCCAAUCAGCUAUAGUGGAAGAGCAGAAUCAUUGAAUAUAAAACAUGGAGAUGUCAGCAGCAGGGGCUGUGAGCUGAACAGCUUCACUGGGAAGAGGAUAUGGGUGAGAAGGUACAGCAAUGGGUACCUCCAUUAACAGGUAAGCUGGAUCCUCCAUAGGAAUAGGCACUAGCUGGUUUUGGAUGAAGGUGUCGUAAGAUCAGAUACACUUUUGGGUGAUCAGCAUGAUCUGGGUAUGGACAUGGCAGAGCAGGUGGAAGGGAAGGGACCAAUAUGUGUCAAUAACCAUCUAUGAGCCAGGCACUUACCGGGAAGUAUAAUGUCUUUGUAGUUAGACAGACCAGUAGUGUCUGUUGCUCUGGAGGAAGUUACUUAAACUCACCAAGACUCAGUUUUCUCUGUAUUAAAAUGAUGACACCUACCUCACUAUCUGGCCAUUGGGAUUAAAUAUGAGAAUAUGUGUGAAAAUUUAUGUCAUAUGGUAAGCACUCAGAUGUUUCCUGGUGGAACAGCAUGGUGUGGAUUAGGAACAUCCAAACUCUGACAUCAAGCUGAACUUUUGAAAUAGAGGCCUCCCUGCUCACUAGUUGGGCAACCUUGAACAAGCUAGUUAAACUGUCUAGAGCUCAGUUUUGUUAUCUGGUGAGAUUAAUAGCAUUGAAUGGUGUAAAGCACAUUCUCAGUAAAUGCUCAUUAUUAUGAUUAUAGUUAUUAAUGUUUAUUUAACUUUGAAAUAAUAAUGUGUAGGAGCUCCUCAGGUAGAUAAUGGAAAUAAGAAAUUUCUUAGGUCAUGGAAGCAUGGAGGUAUGGAAAAUUUUGGAGAACAAAGAGGAGUCUGGUGAAGUAGGGUGGGGAUACUGGGCAGAUGCAAAGAUUGCCAAGGGUUAUAUCAUAAAGGCCGGGAUACCAGCCUGGCAUCAACUGCCUUAGAUUGGGAAGAUGCAAAACUGUGGUCUGGAGUCAGCCCUGCAGAAGCCUGUUUCCUGACUUUCCAUCUUCAAUCUCUUUUCUAUGCAGUUACCAGAGUCAUGUUUUGAAAUCUCAAAUCUGAGCAUCUAUCCUCAAAUAGAGGCCUACAUGGCUUCCAGUUCCUCCAGGAGAAGGUCCAAAUCCCUUAAGAUGACUUUAAGGCCCUCAAGUGUUCCAGGCUCUGUACGUUCUUGUGCCACAACUAUGCCACAACAAAACAGUUUUUCCCCCAUUUCUACUUUGUUUUUCCAGCUGUAGAGUCAAAGCCUCAAGAAGGGGAAAGGGACGAAUGGACACCAGGUCAUGUGCCAGGUAGCUGGGAAAUGAAUACUUCUA